This 1122-nucleotide ribosomal RNA is filed under the name Aegilops tauschii. RNAcentral's name for it is "bacterial LSU rRNA". It matches the Rfam family "Bacterial large subunit ribosomal RNA", at positions 1796 to 2912 of the family's 2925-position model. Lineage: Eukaryota; Viridiplantae; Streptophyta; Magnoliopsida; Poales; Poaceae. The record is from RNAcentral.
GCGACUGUUUAUCAAAAACACAGGACUCUGCCAACUCGCAAGAGGACGUAUAGAGUCUGACGCCUGCUCGGUGUCGGUAGGUUAAGGGAGCCGGUGACCGCAAGGGCAGCUGGCGACCGAAGCCCCGAUAAACGGCGGCCGUAACUAUGACGGUCCUAAGGUAGCGAAGUUCCUUGUCGGGUAAGUUCCGACCUGCACGAAUGGCGUAACGAUGGCCACACUGUCUCCUCCCGAGACUCAGCGAAGUUGAAGUGUUUGUGAUGAUGCAAUCUACCCGCGGCUAGACGGAAAGACCCCAUGAACCUUUACUGUAGCUUUGCAUUGGACUUUGAACCGAUCUGUGUAGGAUAGGUGGGAGGCUAUGAAACCGGAACGCUAGUUUCGGUGGAGCCGUCCUUGAAAUACCACCCUGGUUUGUUUGAGGUUCUAACCUUGGCCCGUGAUCCGGGUCGGGGACAGUGCAUGGUAGGCAGUUUGACUGGGGCGGUCUCCUCCCAAAGCGUAACGGAGGAGUACGAAGGUACGCUAGGUACGGUCGGAAAUCGUGCUGAUAGUGCAAUGGCAUAAGCGUGCUUAACUGCGAGACCGACAAGUCGAGCAGGUGCGAAAGCAGGUCAUAGUGAUCCGGUGGUUCUGUAUGGAAGGGCCAUCGCUCAACGGAUAAAAGGUACUCUGGGGAUAACAGGCUGAUACCGCCCAAGAGUUCAUAUCGACGGCGGUGUUUGGCACCUCGAUGUCGGCUCAUCUCAUCCUGGGGCUGUAGCCGGUCCCAAGGGUAUGGCUGUUCGCCAUUUAAAGAGGUACGUGAGCUGGGUUUAAAACGUCGUGAGACAGUUUGGUCCCUAUCUGCCGUGGGCGUUGGAUAUUUGAAGGGGGCUGCUCCUAGUACGAGAGGACCGGAGUGGACGAACCUCUGGUGUACCGGUUGUCACGCCAGUGGCAUCGCCGGGUAGCUAUGUUCGGAAGAGAUAACCGCUGAAAGCAUCUAAGCGGGAAACUCGCCUUAAGAUGAGAUAUCCCUGGGGACUAGAUCCCCUUGAAGGGUCGUUCGAGACCAGGACGUUGAUAGGCUGGGUGUGGAAGCGCAGUAAUGCGUUCAGCUAACCAGUACUAAUUGCCCGU